UUAUUUUAAUUGUUGUCUCGUGACAGUGAUAUGAGAAUAAUUGAUUAAAAUAAUAAAAAAAAGUUGUGUUAACAUUAAAUUUUAAAUUCUUGCGCGUAAAUACUGCGCAAGUUUCAGCGCAGGAGAAAGGCAAUUUAUAUUUUUUUCCCCACUGGUAACGUGGAGCUUUGUGUUGGUUAUUGCAAAAGAUAAUAAGAUAAAAAUCCAACGGAUGCAGUUAAAUCUAUAUGUUAAGAAUGUGUGAUGAAGUGAACAUCUCACCAAGUGAAGGAAGCUGUUAAAUACCUUAAAGAAAUUUGUAAAUCAAAAUUAUUUGACGCAUAUGGAUAAGAAAAAAGAAGUGCAUUGUUUUAUUUAUACACCAUUGUGUGAUAUUUGUUAAAACACGAAUGUCAAUGAAUUUAAAACGUAAUUUAUUUAUCAAUUUGUGAUUGUCUUUUAGUUAUUGUGCAUAAUUUUCGUUAUUAAUUGUUUUUUAUACCACCGCAGAAGAGAAAUCGAUUAUUUCGAAUUUAUAACAGACGAGUACUUUUAAUUUUGACAUGGAAGGCAGUUCCGAUUUGACUGGACUGCCAACGGUGAGCGAAGUGGUACCAAAAAUUCAAGAAAAAUCAAAAGCUGGCGAAAGUACGUCACUCUCGCCCAAUAAUGGCCAAACAUAUUUUGCAAAUGAAAAAAUAAAAAUCCCCGAGAGAAAUACCACCGGUUUUAGCUUUAGGACACUAUGGGCUUUCACAGGUCCAGGAUUUUUAAUGUCCAUCGCAUAUUUGGACCCUGGAAAUAUAGAGUCAGAUUUACAAUCAGGAAAAGUAGCACAAUAUAAGUUAUUAUGGAUUUUACUUAGUGCAACAGUUUUAGGCCUCGUUAUGCAGAGGUUGAGUGCCCGAUUGGGCGUUGUUUCCGGAUUACAUUUGGCCGAAAUGUGCUUUAGACAAUAUAAAAAAGUACCGCGACUUAUAUUAUGGAUAAUGAUAGAAAUUGCCAUAAUUGGAAGCGAUAUGCAAGAAGUUAUCGGCACUGCAAUUGCUCUUUAUCUUCUAUCAAAUAAACGAAUACCGUUGUAUGCAGGCGUUCUUAUCACUAUCAUCGACACUUUUACAUUCUUAUUUCUGGAUAAAUACGGUUUGAGAAAACUGGAAUUAUUUUUUGGUUUUCUCAUAACUGUUAUGGCUGUUACGUUCGGUUAUGAGUACAUUGUGUCAGCGCCUCCUCAGUUAGAAAUUGUCAAAGGAAUGUUUAUCCCUUCGUUCGAAGGUUACAAUAGUGAUGUACUUUUAAAAGCGGUUGGAGUUGUUGGCGCAGUUAUUAUGCCACACAAUUUAUAUCUUCACAGUGCACUCGUUAAAUCACGUGACAUUGAUCGCAGACGUCCAGAAAAAGUGAAGGAAGCGAAUAAGUAUUAUUUUGUAGAAGCUGCGAUUGCAUUGUUCAUUUCGUUUAUAAUAAAUGUCUUCGUCGUGGGUGUCUUUGCCUACGGACUGUUUAAUAAAACUGGCUCCGAAAUAUACGAAAUCUGCGAAAAUAAUAAUUUUACGAUUGGAAUUGAAGCAUUUAAAAAUAAAACGGAAAAAUUGGACGACGCCGAUUUGUACAGCGGAGGAAUAUAUCUUGGAUGUCAGUUUGGCUUUGCUGCAAUGAUAAUAUGGGCGAUUGGAAUUUUAGCUGCUGGACAAUCGUCAACAAUGACGGGAACCUAUGCGGGACAAUUUGCAAUGGAGGGUUUUUUGAAUUUACAAUGGGCGCGUUGGAAGCGAGUUUUAUUCACCCGAUCAAUUGCAAUUAUUCCAACAUUUUUAUUGGCAUUCUAUGCGGACAUUGAAAAACUCACUGGUAUGAAUGACCUUCUCAAUGCCGUUAUGAGUCUACAAUUACCUUUCGCCACUCUACCAACUAUCGCAUUCACCAGCAGUGCUCAUAUUAUGGGAGAAUUUAAAAAUGGAUUGGGAAAUAAAAUUGUCGCGACUUUACUAUCAGUCACAGUAAUAUCGAUAAAUAUUUAUUUUGUAAUCAAUACUGUCGAUGAAAAAUUGUCACAUCAUUGGUCAGUUAUUUUAGCUUUUUCAAUUUUCUCAAUUUUGUACCUGACGUUUUGUGUGUAUUUGAUAAUACACAUGGCUGUGAAUAUGGGAGCAACGUCUCUAGGCAAUCAUUGGUUUGUCGCCAAAUAUAUUGGCGGUCCGGUAGAAAAUUCAUUUGGAUUAUCGAAUCCUGCCGUCUAUUCGAGCUUCGUCAACGGUUCGGAUCUUUCCUUGGACGCAUAAUAACUGCAUCAAUCAGAAAAAAAAACAAACGAAAGUGCCCAAAGAAAUUAAUUAGCGCCACUAUAUUACUAUAAAAAUAAACAUAAUAGAAAGCAAAUUAGCAUAAUAUAAUAAUUAAUGAAACGAGAAUAAUAAAAAUUCGCGAGUUUUGUGAUGUCUGUCUGAUGUGCCAUUUGAUACAUGCUCCCGUGACUGCUGCUGCCAAGGUAUGUGUCAGUAUGGGACUUCUAAAGAGGUGAAGAUUUGUCAAGAGAUAUUUCACGAAGAUAUCGAACGAGCGAUACUUGUGUGUCACUAAUUUAACACAAGCAUUGUACUAACUGCGAGUAUUUUCUUUUUUUUUCUUUUUUUAUAACUAUCAAAAACAGAAAAAAUCAUCAGUGAAACAGGGUGACGCUCGUGAAUGUGUGAAAAUAAAGAAAAUAAAAUUGUAUUUCAGAACAAAUCCAGCAUUUUCAGCUGACGAGGCCUCGGAUAGUUACAAUAAUAUCUUUUCUAUGAAUCAAACGAUAAACUAAUUUUGAGAUUUUCAACAACAGACUCGAUGAAUUUUUUUACCACUGUAAAUUUGUAUGUAUAAAAAAAAAUUCUCAAAUUCAACGAAAGUCAUAAUUAUUGUAUAUUUAACGGAAAAAAAUAUCUUGUUUGUAAAUUGUAUAUAAUUGACAAUAAAUAUUUUAAGUUUUAUCACUGAA
Molecule: RNA transcript, 2956 nt
Organism: Leptopilina heterotoma
Lineage: Eukaryota; Metazoa; Arthropoda; Insecta; Hymenoptera; Figitidae
Gene: Mvl
Gene name: protein Malvolio
Exons: 13
Source: RefSeq, a predicted model, not a curated record